GUGUCCCAGGUUUGGAAUCUCAAGACCAACGCGGUGGGGGAGGGGGAAUGAGUCGAAGGGGCUGGAGUUGUUUCUCCGAGCGGGCUCCAGGAAUAACAGACGGAAACUAUUUUGGAAGUAAAAGAGAGUAAAAUGAUAUAAUCCUACCUCUGCGGGCAUCUACGGCGGCAACCCCCAAUCGUUUGGCUCCCCAACGGCUCAGGCACAGCGAACGACCAAAGGGCAGCGCCAUCUUACGCCACGGAUGAACAGGGCACGCCCCCCGCCCCGCCCCGCCCCCCUCCGCACUGGCUGAGACCCCUCCAUCUGCCCGCCUGCUCCCCUGGCACUUUGUGCGCGAGAGGCAGCAGCGCAGUGUGAUGACGUAAGAGAGCCAGCGCCCCGCAGGGAGUCGCCAUUUUAGUGAAUUCUGUUCUGGUUGCAUCCGGAACAGUUUAUUCAAUUUUUCCGCGGAGAGGAAUGCUGUUCACGUUUUAACUAAAUAGGGCGUUUAGAAAGAUGGUGUAACAAGAUGGUUAAAGGUAUAGAUUUCAGAAUUAAACAAUAAUUGUAUUAUUCGAACCCGGCUCCUCUGUGUGACUGGGCAAAUCACUUAACUUCUGUGAGCCUUAAUGUUAUUUGUAAAACAAAAAUGUCUAGCCGUCAGACCGUAGUAAAAAUUAAACGAGAGAAUUACCUAGGAUACAUCUUGACAAAUAGCAGUCACUGGGUGGAGGAACCCGAGUUUGCUCAAGAUUUCAUCUAAUGCCUUCUCCCCGAAGGCAGAAUCCACUAUCGCCUAUUGGAGAACUCUCAAAAUCUCUACUCCAUAUUUCUCUCCUGAGUUCCAGAUCUGUAUAUCCAAAAGCUUAUUGGACAUUUCUACCUGAAUGUCCCCCAUUCACCUCAAAUUUAACAUGUCUAAAGCUAAUUUCGUUUUUCUACACAGACUGGUGAACUGCAACCCACAACCAGCCCUUUGCCCAGGCCAGAAACCUGGAAGCCCUUCACUUCUUUGUUUCCCUCACUUCACAUAUCUGAUUGUUAUUAAAUCCCUAUCACAUUAUUUUUC
Molecule: long non-coding RNA, 1051 nt
Organism: Lagenorhynchus albirostris (white-beaked dolphin)
Lineage: Eukaryota; Metazoa; Chordata; Mammalia; Artiodactyla; Delphinidae
Exons: 2
Source: RefSeq, a predicted model, not a curated record